AAAAGAAAACAGCAGCAGUAGCAGCAGCAGCAGCAGCAGCAGCAGAAGCACCUGUGAAACUCUUGACUUAAAUUUUAAUCUCCGUAGACCAACGAUCAAGCGAACAUUUCAUAAACAGGAACACAUUUGGUUUUUUAUCUCAAACUCUAAGGACUGCCAUCAUGAAUUGGCAAAAAACACGCCAGAAAAACGCUGUGGAAUUCAGGGAAAACAGAGUAUUACAUAAAUUCGACCCCACCAAAAACAUCCACCUGUGGACUAUGUGGCGUGUAGCGAUUAACGACAAAUUGGUUGAACACUUCGGCAAUACGAAAUUCACGUAUCAAGACUACUUCGGUACGUUACCGUUUCGCAGCUACAUUCAAUUGACGAACAACUCCUUAGAGAGACUUAAAUAUUUCGACAAUCAUAUACUAAGCCCUGAACAGUUCAUCUACUACGGACUUCCUAGAGUGAGACCUUACAGAUGAUACAUGAAUAUGCACUCACACACACACAUACACACGCACACGCACCCCUACACUCUCUCUCUCUCUCUCUCUCUCUUUCCCUCUCUCUAACUAAUUCCAGCCGGUAGGUUGUUGCAAUGAGGGAGUACCAUCAUGUAUGUAUAUGUUUUUGAACGGUUUAUCCUGGAGAAAGGGACUCUAGCUAUGGUUUGUCUUUGUCGAUCAGUACAUAUACAAACAACAUUCAAAGAAUUCUUCAUACAUGCUUGAAACAGCAACAAAGUCUUCUUCAAAUUAUACCCAACUGACUUUAAAAAUAUAAGGAAGCGCUGAAUAAUGUGACCUACGAACUGAGA
Octopus sinensis (East Asian common octopus) is the source of this 805-nucleotide long non-coding RNA. RefSeq lists it as uncharacterized. The record is from RefSeq and is a predicted model, not a curated record. NCBI's taxonomy places the organism in Eukaryota, Metazoa, Mollusca, Cephalopoda, Octopoda, Octopodidae. The transcript is spliced from 2 exons.